GACGAACGCUGGCGGCGUGCUUAACACAUGCAAGUCGAACGGAAAAGCCCUGCUUUUGUGGGGUGCUCGAAUGGCGAACGGGUGAGUAACACGAGAGUAACCUACCCCUGAAUCAGGGAUCCUCUCAGAAAACUGGGGCUACUACAGACUAGGAGCUCCUGCUGCAUGGAGGGGGAUGGAAAGUUUCGGUGGGUGGGGAUGGACUCGCGGCUUAUCUGCUUGUUGGUGGGGUUGUGGCUUACCAAGGCUUUGAGGGGUAGCCUGCCUGGGAGGGUGACCGGCCACGUUGGGACUGAGAUACGGCCCAGACUCCAACGGGAGGGAGCAGAGGGGAAUAGAGCACAAUGGGCGGAAGCCUGAUGCAGCAACGCCGCGUGCGGGGUGACGGCCUUCGAGUUGUAAACCGCUUUCGCCUGUGACGAAGCGUAAGUGACGGUAAUGGGUAAAGAAGCACCGGCUAACUACGUG
RNAcentral lists this ribosomal RNA (468 nucleotides) under uncultured bacterium. RNAcentral describes it as "partial 16S ribosomal RNA". It matches the Rfam family "Bacterial small subunit ribosomal RNA", at positions 28 to 507 of the family's 1533-position model. The record is from RNAcentral.